GAUGAGGUGGCCGAGUGGUUAAGGCGAUGGAUUGCUGAUCCAUUGUGUUAUGCACACAUGGUUUCAAAUCCCAUCCUCGUCG
This is a non-coding RNA of Pseudophryne corroboree (corroboree frog), 82 nucleotides long. The record is from the annotation of a RefSeq genome assembly. NCBI's taxonomy places the organism in Eukaryota, Metazoa, Chordata, Amphibia, Anura, Myobatrachidae.